This 3187-nucleotide long non-coding RNA is filed under the name Olea europaea subsp. europaea. The record is from RNAcentral. Lineage: Eukaryota; Viridiplantae; Streptophyta; Magnoliopsida; Lamiales; Oleaceae.
AUUUACUAAUGGAUAAGAGUAUUCACAAUUCUGCUCGUCAGUUUUCCAUGUACAUAUCUUAUCUCUGAAGGGGUAUUAUGAGAUGAGGUCAACAGGCAGACUUAUGUUUCACUUGGUUAGAACAUCUAUUCCGAAUACUUCUACUGUUUAGGCUUAGUGUUCGUAGUGAAAGGCAGUUCUGAAGCUAAAGAAUUAUUUCACGUGGUUUGUUUAGGAUAAUAUUUUCACAUGAUGUUUAAUUUCUAAAUAAUUUAGGUAUUCGCAGAUGAUAUUUUGGCGGACAGUGACACCAUAUGGAGAAGGGGCACGAAAUUUUCAACUCAUGUUUUUGAUCUUCAGUGAUAGUAGCAUUUGUUGACCCCUUUAAGACGAUGGUAUUCUGUCAUGGUAACCUCCUCACACUCGACUUUUUUCACUAGAAGUAGAUUUUUAUCCUUGUUUAUUUCCUCUCCCUCAGAUUCUUCUCUUUUUAGGUUGAGUUCAGUUUUCAGUGUCUUGAUCCUGCGUAGAUUAAUUUCAAAAUGCACACAACCUUGACUCUGAUUGGCAAAUUAGUCUUGUUUAGUGUAUAGCGGUGUUGCAGGUUGUGGUGAUUUGGAACCCACUCCUUUGAUCUGUUUUGCUAAGAAUGGAGUUUUAGUCCUCUGGUAUUUCAGUGACUUUAUUCUGCAUAGAUUAAUUUCAAAAUGCACACAACCUUGAUUCUGAUUAGCAAAUUAACUCUUGUUUAGUGUAUAGUGGUGUUGCAGGUUGUGGUGAUUUGAAAUCCACUCCUUUGAUCUUUUUAGCUAAGAAUGGAUUUUUAGUCCUCUGGUACCAUUUCUGUCAUUUGAUCCUCUUACAAAAGGCUUCCUUUUUAUACAUUGCUUUAUUCCUUAGGAAUUUGCAGUUUUAAGCGGUUGAUGACAGGGAAAAAAACGCCGUUAAUUGUUUGCUGGGGUUUGUUAUAAAUGAUGUUUCUGUGAGUUGAUUGGAAUAUAAUCUUCACAUACAUAUUGGUACAGAAUCUGGUUUCCUUUGGUGCUUCAUCCACAGCUGGAAAUCGCUUUGGUCAAAUAAAAAUGGAUAUUUACGGAAUAAACGGUGUAAGAUUUUCCUUUCUUUUUCUUCGCUCAUUUCUAGUUCAUCAGUCUCAGUUGUGUAUUGGGGGAGUUCACGAGCUUGAUCAGUUUACAAAGACCAAGGGCAUGCUAAGGGCAACUUAUUCAUUGUUCACUGCCGCUACAUGUGUAUUGGUAAAUUGGAAUCUUUCUUUGUCUCUGCUCUAACAUGAAAUGGAAUCUAGUUCUUUUCAAUCUUUUAAAUCAUCUUAGGUUCCCUGAUGUGUUUCUGCAUUUGCUGAUAGAUUCGACCGGAAGAGGAUGACACAUGUAACUGAUAAGGUGUUAAGUUUAUGUGUGGUGUUAGUUUAUGAUUUUGUUGGCCUUUUUACCUAUAGCUUGUUCUCCCUACCUUUGUAGACAAGGCCUUCAACUUGAAAGGAAGGAAUUCAUUUGGACGUUGGCCUUUUUACCUGUAGUUUGUUCUCCCUACCUUUAUAGACAAGGCCUUCAACUUGAAAGGAAGGAAUUCAUUUGAACUUUACACGGGUCAGGAAUCUAUGGUAAAGUGGUUUUCAGGAUGGUGGAGCCAAUAUUGUUAAUUUUUUGUUGUGGUUUGUUUUAAUGAUAUAUUUUUAAGAGUUGCUUGGAAUGUGAUUUUCACUUCAUAUUGGUACAGAAUCUGGUUUUCUUUGGUGCUUUUUCAUUCACAGCUGGAAAUCCUUUGGUCAAAUAAUAUUCGAUUCUUAUGUAAGAAAGGGUGUAAAAUUCUUCUCUUUUCUUUGCUCAUUUCUGGUUCAUCAGUUUCAAUGUGUGCGUUGGGGUUGUUUAUGUGGAGUCUGAUCAUUUUAUGAGGUCUGGGCUGUGAAGGGAAACUAUUUUGCAGCUAAAUUCGCAUUGGCGAUUACAUCUGUCUUUGCUCUACAUGAACUGGAAUCUGGGCUUUUUUCAGCUUAGUAUAAAAUGCCUUAGGUUUUUGAUGUUCCUCCAUGUGCAGAUAAGAUUUGACGGGGAGAGGUCUGAGAGGAUGACACAUGAAUCAGGUAAAUAUUAAGGUGUUAGCUUUGUGUGUGUGGGUUUAUGAAUUAGGUAGUUCUCUCUGCAUUUCUGGACCUUCAACUUGAAAGGAAAGAAUUCAUUGGAACUUAUUUCUCGUCAGGGGUCUUCUUGUUGGAUAGAUGAAACAACAUACUAUUUAUAAAGAAAGAUUAAGCUCCCUCGAUACUGUCCAUCUGUUUGAAAUUAUCAAUAGUUGUAGUUAUCAUGAAUUGUCCUCUAUAUUAAAGUCUGGCAUGUACUGCACAGGAAUUUCCAAUAUAGCUUAAUGACAGUUCCUUGGGGUCUUCUUGGAUGUUCAGUUAUAAAGAUAGGUCACCAGUUGAUAACUUCCAUGCUAUGGUACUGAUAUGCACAAAGAAAAAAUUGAUUGACUGCAUGGUAAUUUCCUAUACUGCACAUAAAUCCUUUAUUGUCAUAAUCAGAUGUUGGGCUCUUUGGACUGUUGCUUACGGGUACUGCUAUCGAGCACUAGUGCUUAUCUAAGUGUUGGAUUUUUUAUUUUCUAAAAUAUAGGAUGCAGGAACAUUUCUAAAAAGAGUUCAAAUUUCAUAUACGGAUACGUGAGUAUUUCUUUAAUACUUCAAUUUUUUUUUUACUAAUCUAAAAUGUAAUUUUGAAUAGACCAAAAUAAAUUAUUCACAAAGAAGGAAAUAGAUAUUGAAUUAGAGGUUAAGACGAGUAAAAUAGAAUUUUGAGACGUAGUUUUUAAUCAUGGGAAUUACUAAAUGUUAUAUAAAAUAGAAAAUGAAGAAUUUGAUUGCAAUUUGGACUUAGUGAAGCACUAAUUAGUACUAUAUGAAACUUAUUUUUAUUUUAUACAAACAAAACCCUAAAUCACCAUUACAAAGAGAGAAGGAAAAAAGAAGAAAUUGGAAAGAAAAAAUAAAUAGGAAGAAAAAGAAAGGAAAAGAAGAGUUCGAGCAUUAGAGGCAAUUACUAUAACCGUAUUUUCAACUGGCACGUCGUCUUUAUAUGUAUGCCUUGGUUUUGGUUAAUGUUUCUCUGAUUGGUAUAUAUGACAUUUAAAGGUUUUAAUUAAUUUUUCUUUUUUGUAUAUCUAUCCAAUGGUGUAAAAAAAAGAAUCGAAU